This 728-nucleotide ribosomal RNA is filed under the name Escherichia coli. RNAcentral describes it as "partial 23S ribosomal RNA". It matches the Rfam family "Bacterial large subunit ribosomal RNA", at positions 512 to 1239 of the family's 2925-position model. Lineage: Bacteria; Pseudomonadati; Pseudomonadota; Gammaproteobacteria; Enterobacterales; Enterobacteriaceae. The record is from RNAcentral.
AGGCGAAAAGAACCCCGGCGAGGGGAGUGAAAAAGAACCUGAAACCGUGUACGUACAAGCAGUGGGAGCACAGAGCAAUCUGUGUGACUGCGUACCUUUUGUAUAAUGGGUCAGCGACUUAUAUUCUGUAGCAAGGUUAACCGAAUAGGGGAGCCGAAGGGAAACCGAGUCUUAACUGGGCGUUAAGUUGCAGGGUAUAGACCCGAAACCCGGUGAUCUAGCCAUGGGCAGGUUGAAGGUUGGGUAACACUAACUGGAGGACCGAACCGACUAAUGUUGAAAAAUUAGCGGAUGACUUGUGGCUGGGGGUGAAAGGCCAAUCAAACCGGGAGAUAGCUGGUUCUCCCCGAAAGCUAUUUAGGUAGCGCCUCGUGAAUUCAUCUCCGGGGGUAGAGCACUGUUUCGGCAAGGGGGUCAUCCCGACUUACCAACCCGAUGCAAACUGCGAAUACCGGAGAAUGUUAUCACGGGAGACACACGGCGGGUGCUAACGUCCGUCGUGAAGAGGGAAACAACCCAGACCGCCAGCUAAGGUCCCAAAGUCAUGGUUAAGUGGGAAACGAUGUGGGAAGGCCCAGACAGCCAGGAUGUUGGCUUAGAAGCAGCCAUCAUUUAAAGAAAGCGUAAUAGCUCACUGGUCGAGUCGGCCUGCGCGGAAGAUGUAACGGGGCUAAACCAUGCACCGAAGCUGCGGCAGCGACACUGUGUGUUGUUGGGUAGGGGAGCGU